Molecule: ribosomal RNA, 579 nt
Filed under: uncultured bacterium
Lineage: Bacteria
Description: partial 16S ribosomal RNA
Rfam family: Bacterial small subunit ribosomal RNA
Source: RNAcentral
UGGGGAAUUUUGGACAAUGGGGGCAACCCUGAUCCAGCAAUGCCGCGUGUGUGAAGAAGGCCUUCGGGUUGUAAAGCACUUUUGUCCGGGAAGAAAUCCCCUGCCCUAAUACGGCGGGGGGAUGACGGUACCGGAAGAAUAAGCACCGGCUAACUACGUGCCAGCAGCCGCGGUAAUACGUAGGGUGCGAGCGUUAAUCGGAAUUACUGGGCGUAAAGCGUGCGCAGGCGGUGAUGUAAGACCGAUGUGAAAUCCCCGGGCUCAACCUGGGAACUGCAUUGGUGACUGCAUUGCUCGAGUAUGGCAGAGGGGGGUGGAAUUCCACGUGUAGCAGUGAAAUGCGUAGAGAUGUGGAGGAACACCGAUGGCGAAGGCAGCCCCCUGGGCCAAUACUGACGCUCAUGCACGAAAGCGUGGGGAGCAAACAGGAUUAGAUACCCUGGUAGUCCACGCCCUAAACGAUGUCAACUGGUUGUCGGGCCUUCAUUGGCCUGGUAACGUAGCUAACGCGUGAAGUUGACCGCCUGGGGAGUACGGUCGCAAGAUUAAAACUCAAAUGAAUUGACGGGGUCAUAGCUG